GGAUUUCAGAGCCCCUCUGUUAUGUGUUUUUCUCCUCUCUCUCCUGCCCACCCAAGCCCUCAGAGGGGAAGAUCUGCUGAAGACAGGGAGAGGUCCUUGCAGUCCCUUGGCAAAGCAGGUGCUACCUCUGUGGCUCUGGAGAGCAGAGAAUUCACUGAAGGACAUGAGAUGCCCAGUGGCUCCCCCAUGCCAACCUACCACAAUGCUCCCAACUCAAGAGAAAAGAGGGCCUCACCCCAAGAAGCCACAGAUGAGUGCUUAUGGAAGGAGAGAAUGAAUGAUUGAGAUAACAUCGUCCUGAACACAUCAGGCAAGAUACCUGAAGGAAAUAGGAAGCAUGUCCAGAGGGGACUUGAAGAGGCAUCCAUGAAGGGACAGUUGACUGAGCUGUAAAGAGGGGAUGUGGAAGCACCAGGGACCCAGCAAUAGCACACAGCAUCACUCCACCUCUGCAAAGGGGGCUAGAAGAGGGCACGGUCUUACUGGAAUGGGGCAGGAGCUGGACUGUGGAGGGUGGGCCACUCUGCAUGGCAGGAGCUAUAGGACCCAUGGUCACCACCCAGCACAUGGGGAUCACUCCUAUUGGCUUCAUUGCCUGUCUUCCUCAGGGUGCUGUGAGAUCCUUAAUAAACCAGGUUUUGCUAAACUCUAGAUCCCCCCAAAUUAAGCACCAGGUCUUCCAUUGAGUAAGUCUUAGUUAACUAAUUAAUUGAGUCCUCUUGAUUUCCUAAGACCACUCACUCCUGGAUGGUGAUCUCUUUACCAAUGGGCUUCCCCCCAAAAGAGACAUCAAGGACUGAGCUGAUCACCUCUGUCCCAAAAUGGCCACACUCACGUGAGAUUCAGUUUCCACUGGAUGUGCCCCUCUCCAAAUGGGGUGCAGGGCUCUGGAUCCUGCCUCUCAAACCCAAAGAGCAGCAUCACUGAGUGCACACACAGAUAAACACAAUGAGUUACCGCCGAAAGUUAGGACUCCAGUAGAGAACUCAGAG
This 992-nucleotide long non-coding RNA is filed under the name Cercocebus atys (sooty mangabey). Its description in RNAcentral is "lncRNA (ENSCATG00000045447.1)". Lineage: Eukaryota; Metazoa; Chordata; Mammalia; Primates; Cercopithecidae. The record is from RNAcentral.